AGCUCCAAUAGCGUCUAUUAACUUUUCUUCCUUUCCCCAUCUCUUCUUUUUCUCUCUUUUUACCUGGUCUAUCCGGUAUAGCUCACGCUAAAACUGGUCUGACCCCCCAACGUGAGGUAUUCGUCUCCGGGUGCACUUCAUUGGGUGCUCGUGAGGGGCCUCGUAGUUACUGUGAAAAAAUUAGAGUGUUCAAAGCAUGCUCAUAUGUUCGGAUAGUCGUGCAUGGAAUAACUGAAUACGUGACUGGCGCUUUUCAGUUGGUCUCGGCGACUGGUCAAAUGAUUAAGAGGGACUGCCGGGGGCAUUGGUAUGGCGGGGUUAGAGGUGAAAUUCUUGGAUCCUCGCCAGACCAACAAAAGCGAAAGCAUUUGCCAAGAAUGUCUUCA
This 386-nucleotide ribosomal RNA is filed under the name marine Metazoa environmental sample. RNAcentral's name for it is "SSU rRNA". It matches the Rfam family "Eukaryotic small subunit ribosomal RNA", at positions 587 to 972 of the family's 1831-position model. The record is from RNAcentral. Lineage: Eukaryota; Metazoa.